Monopterus albus (swamp eel) is the source of this 322-nucleotide long non-coding RNA. RefSeq lists it as uncharacterized. The transcript has 3 exons. The record is from RefSeq and is a predicted model, not a curated record. NCBI's taxonomy places the organism in Eukaryota, Metazoa, Chordata, Actinopteri, Synbranchiformes, Synbranchidae.
GGGUUUCUCUCACACUGUCUGCAGGAUGGAAAUGUAGGACACAUUAAAAUGGGGGCAUUACAGGAUAAAGUGGAAAUGAAACUGGACAUACACUGCAAGAUGUCAAUUACACUGUAGAAAUAGCUACCAUCAACCACUGACCAGCCCAGGAGUGACCCCGCGAUGCAGCUCGGCCCACCUCAUUCAACUCAUCAUCCCUCUACUCCUGCUUCUGGUCGACACUUCAGUUACUCUAUUUCAUUAUCCUCCACUUACUUGUUAUUAUCACUAGAUUGCACUGUAUAGAAUUAAUCACUACUUGCACUGAUGCCGGCUACCUGGG